Molecule: RNA transcript, 296 nt
Organism: Arabidopsis thaliana (thale cress)
Lineage: Eukaryota; Viridiplantae; Streptophyta; Magnoliopsida; Brassicales; Brassicaceae
Exons: 1
Source: RefSeq
GCACUAAACAAAGCUAAACAUCAAAAUAUUUCUUUUUCUUUUAAUGAUAGAAGGUACCCAAGCUAAUCUCUAACCAUAAAAGAAGAUGUUUAUUGAUAUCAAAAUCAAUCAUUAUUAACCAUAGAACGACAAGACGAUAAUGACCACCAUUACAUGGUUGAAACAUCAAAUUUUUAACAGCUAGACAUUUCAUAAUGCAAGAUGUUCCAUCAAGCACAAGAUCAUACCACUCGACCUUUCCCCAUAUUUCUCCUCCUUCGCGCCUUUCGAGGGCAAUCUCUGCACACCAAAUUUCU